Molecule: ribosomal RNA, 305 nt
Filed under: uncultured bacterium
Lineage: Bacteria
Description: partial 16S ribosomal RNA
Rfam family: Bacterial small subunit ribosomal RNA
Source: RNAcentral
ACAGCAGUAGCCGCGGUAAUACAGAGGGUGCGAGCGUUAAUCGGAUUUACUGGGCGUAAAGCGUGCGUAGGCGGCUUCUUAAGUCGGAUGUGAAAUCCCUGAGCUUAACUUAGGAAUUGCAUUCGAUACUGGGAAGCUAGAGUAUGGGAGAGGAUGGUAGAAUUCCAGGUGUAGCGGUGAAAUGCGUAGAGAUCUGGAGGAAUACCAAUGGCGAAGGCAGCCAUCUGGCCUAAUACUGACGCUGAGGUACGAAAGCAUGGGGAGCAAACAGGAUUAGAGACCCGUGUAGUCCCUGUCUCUUAUAC